GAUGAACGCUGGCGGCGUGCCUAAUACAUGCAAGUCGAGCGAACGGACGAGAAGCUUGCUUCUCUGAUGUUAGCGGCGGACGGGUGAGUAACACGUGGAUAACCUACCUAUAAGACUGGGAUAACUUCGGGAAACCGGAGCUAAUACCGGAUAAUAUUUUGAACCGCAUGGUUCAAAAGUGAAAGACGGUCUUGCUGUCACUUAUAGAUGGAUCCGCGCUGCAUUAGCUAGUUGGUAAGGUAACGGCUUACCAAGGCAACGAUGCAUAGCCGACCUGAGAGGGUGAUCGGCCACACUGGAACUGAGACACGGUCCAGACUCCUACGGGAGGCAGCAGUAGGGAAUCUUCCGCAAUGGGCGAAAGCCUGACGGAGCAACGCCGCGUGAGUGAUGAAGGUCUUCGGAUCGUAAUACUCUGUUAUUAGGGAAGAACAUAUGUGUAAGUAACUGUGCACAUCUUGACGGUACCUAAUCAGAAGGCCACGGCUAACUACGUG
Molecule: ribosomal RNA, 497 nt
Filed under: uncultured bacterium
Lineage: Bacteria
Description: partial 16S ribosomal RNA
Rfam family: Bacterial small subunit ribosomal RNA
Source: RNAcentral